UACAGAGGGUGCGAGCGUUAAUCGGAAUUACUGGGCGUAAAGCGCGCGUAGGCGGCUUUGCAAGUCGGGUGUGAAAUCCCCAGGCUUAACCUGGGAACUGCAUUCGAGACUGCAUUGCUAGAGUAUGGGAGAGGGAAGUGGAAUUUCCGGUGUAGCGGUGAAAUGCGUAGAUAUCGGAAGGAACAUCAGUGGCGAAAGCGGCUUCCUGGACCAGCACCGACGUUCAGGCACGAAAGCGUGGGGAGCAAACAGG
Molecule: ribosomal RNA, 253 nt
Filed under: uncultured bacterium
Lineage: Bacteria
Description: partial 16S ribosomal RNA
Rfam family: Bacterial small subunit ribosomal RNA
Source: RNAcentral